GUUCUUACUUUGGCAGCACAUAUACUAAAAUUGGAAUGAUGGAGAGAAGAUAAGCUUGGCUCCUACAUAAGGAUAAACAAAUUCGUGAAGCAUUCCACAUUUUU
This is a small nuclear RNA of Cavia aperea (Brazilian guinea pig), 104 nucleotides long. NCBI's taxonomy places the organism in Eukaryota, Metazoa, Chordata, Mammalia, Rodentia, Caviidae. The record is from Ensembl.